This 74-nucleotide transfer RNA is filed under the name Leeia speluncae. RNAcentral describes it as "tRNA-Arg". It matches the Rfam family "tRNA". From Rfam's summary of the family: Transfer RNA (tRNA) molecules are approximately 80 nucleotides in length. Their secondary structure includes four short double-helical elements and three loops (D, anti-codon, and T loops). Further hydrogen bonds mediate the characteristic L-shaped molecular structure. tRNAs have two regions of fundamental functional importance: the anti-codon, which is responsible for specific mRNA codon recognition, and the 3' end, to which the tRNAs corresponding amino acid is attached (by aminoacyl-tRNA synthetases). tRNAs cope with the degeneracy of the genetic code in two manners: having more than one tRNA (with a specific anti-codon) for a particular amino acid; and 'wobble' base-pairing, i.e. permitting non-standard base-pairing at the 3rd anti-codon position. The record is from RNAcentral. Lineage: Bacteria; Pseudomonadati; Pseudomonadota; Betaproteobacteria; Neisseriales; Leeiaceae.
GCGGCAGUAGCUCAGUUGGAUAGAGCAGUGACCUUCUAAGUCACCGGUCGGGGGUUCGACUCCCUCCUGUCGCG